ACAUUGUGACACAACAAUUUCUAUUUUGCAUGCAUAUUUUAUUUGUUUCUCCUCUUAUCUACCUUUUGUCCCAUUGUAUAAUUUUUCUAGGAUUGAAAAGCAGGAGUGACAAGAUGGACAAGGCAAAUGAGUUUGUCCUGUAGUGUCCAAACUUUUGCAAGGGGAAAUUGUCUUUAGAGGAUGGUGCCAGUGCCUGGUGCAGACAGUGUGGGAGAGCUGGAAAGAGCUGGAAGGAACAAGGAUAAGCAGCUUUUUCCAUCACUUGGAAGAAGAUCAUCUUGGGAAAAAAGUCACUCCAUCAGGCAGUGAAUUAUCUCAGCUGCUAAAGGUUUCAAAGUUUCAAGGCCACUCUUACCAAGCAGUGGCAGAGGCGCAUUUGGGGAGCAGCACGGAGACGAUCCAUCAUUGAUGACAAAUCCAAGUUUUCCUGUUAGGAUGUGCAGGAGUGCAUGGCAGACAUCUGUUCUCCGUGCCACAGCAGCAGCCACCACUUGUUCUCUCAGCUCUUUAGAGGAGUAAUCUGCCAGAACCUGAGCGGAAUUACCUGGGGCACGGUCACGUUAGUGCACGUAAUCUGGGGAAGAAUGGUUCUCUGAACAGAUGAAUUCAUAAAUUAUGGAUUUUUGACAUCUAGAUGCAUCACAGGAACCCUGUAAUCAGGCACUUUUUGAAGUACAGUGCACUCAGAACACUCUCAGACCUUGCAGAUGUGAUUAAACCAGCGUGCCCUGUGCUACUCCAGUGAAUUCCAAAAUUCCAGCCUUCCCACACUGCUUUUCUCAACAUUUAACUUCCACCACUCUCCUGCUUCCAUGAAUCCACCUGAGCUGCUGCUGUGUCACUGAAGAAGGUUGGGUUUGUCUCCAGGACGGGAGCUGUGGAUGCCACCUGUGACCCCGCGGCCGAUGACACACGCGCGGGAUCCGUCCACUCCUCGAAAUUCUGCGUCCACACAAAAGCCCAGCCUGGUCUGGAGAGGCUUCCAAGCAGCUCAGGAUUUUUCAGAGUUUCCAUUAAAGGUUCAAGGGAUCACCCUGAGCAGUUUCAGACCAUAACCAGAACAACAUGCAGCUUUGGGGCUGACCCAACCCGGACAGGCAGUUCUGGACAGGAUUCUGCUAGAUUUCAGGAGAAUGCUGCAAUAGAAAUUCAGGGUUUUGUCCAUUUUGCUGGAUGAAAAGGGAAGGGCUCAAACAGCAUCCUCUGAUCUGAACUGGCUGGGUGUGAACACGUGGGAAAAAGAAAAUGGGAAUUUUUCCACUGCCACAAAAAGCUGGGAUUGAGUUUUUUCCACUUAAAGGCUGUUUUAAUUAGGACUUGAGUGUCAGAAAUAUCUUUAAAAUUAUCCUAAACAAAAAAUAAAACCCUCUUUUAAUCCCA
This 1380-nucleotide long non-coding RNA is filed under the name Cyanistes caeruleus (blue tit). RNAcentral describes it as "lncRNA (ENSCCEG00000005737.1)". Lineage: Eukaryota; Metazoa; Chordata; Aves; Passeriformes; Paridae. The record is from RNAcentral.